GGUAGGAACACCAAUAACGAAAGCGGCUCGCUGGGCCAUUCCUGACGCGUGAGACGCGAAAGCGUGGGGAGCGAACAGGAUUAGAUACCCUGGUAGUCCACGCCGUAGACCAUGAACACUAAGUGUUGGGGGAGUCGAAUCCCUCGGUGCCGCAACCAACGCGUUAAGUGUUCCGCCUGGGGAGUACGGCCGCAAGGCUAAAACUCAAAAGAAUUGACGGGGGCCCGCACAAGCAGCGGAGCAUGUUCUUUAAUUCGAUGCAACGCGAAGAACCUUACCUGGGCUUGACAUGGUGCUGCAAGCGCACGGAAACGUGUGACCUUCGAGGGUGCACCACAGAUGCUGCAUGGCUGUCGUCAGCUCGUGUCGUGAGAUGUUGGGUUAAGUCCCGCAACGAGCGCAACCCCCGUGGUGUGUUGCCAGCAUUAAGUUGGGGACUCACACCAGACUGCCGGUGACAAACCGGAGGAAGGUGGGGAUGACGUCAAGUCAUCAUGGCUCUUACGCCCAGGGCUAGAAACGUGCUACAAUGGCGCAUACAAUGGGUUGCAAGACCGCGAGGUGGAGCGAAUCUCAUCAAAGUGCGUCUAAGUUCGGAUCGCAGUCUGCAACUCGACUGCGUGAAGGCGGAGUUGCUAGU
Molecule: ribosomal RNA, 640 nt
Filed under: uncultured Rubrobacteraceae bacterium
Lineage: Bacteria; Bacillati; Actinomycetota; Rubrobacteria; Rubrobacterales; Rubrobacteraceae
Description: bacterial SSU rRNA
Rfam family: Bacterial small subunit ribosomal RNA
Source: RNAcentral